This 274-nucleotide unclassified non-coding RNA is filed under the name Hevea brasiliensis (rubber tree). Lineage: Eukaryota; Viridiplantae; Streptophyta; Magnoliopsida; Malpighiales; Euphorbiaceae. The record is from RNAcentral.
GAAUGAUCAUAUCCCAUUAACUGAAGCUCAGUGUGUUAAUUCUGUAACAAUUAAUGUUGUUUCUUAAUGUUAUUCUCAAAUUUCACUGAGACAACAUUAAAGAAGAGCACAUGUACCAGAAAAAUACUCAAUUUAUUAUCUACCUGUCCUUCAAAAGUGUCUUUAUUGCAAUCAACCUAACAAGCAUCUGUGAUUCUCUACUCAACUAAACUAAAGGUCAGUCCCAAGUAGAGUCAGCUACAUGCAUUUCAGUGAUAUGAAAAAACUUAUCCCA